AGUCGAGCGGAUGACAGGAGCUUGCUCCUGAAUUCAGCGGCGGACGGGUGAGUAAUGCCUAGGAAUCUGCCUGGUAGUGGGGGACAACGUUUCGAAAGGAACGCUAAUACCGCAUACGUCCUACGGGAGAAAGCAGGGGACCUUCGGGCCUUGCGCUAUCAGAUGAGCCUAGGUCGGAUUAGCUAGUUGGUGAGGUAAUGGCUCACCAAGGCGACGAUCCGUAACUGGUCUGAGAGGAUGAUCAGUCACACUGGAACUGAGACACGGUCCAGACUCCUACGGGAGGCAGCAGUGGGGAAUAUUGGACAAUGGGCGAAAGCCUGAUCCAGCCAUGCCGCGUGUGUGAAGAAGGUCUUCGGAUUGUAAAGCACUUUAAGUUGGGAGGAAGGGCUGUAAAUUAAUACUUUGCUGUUUUGACGUUACCGACAGAAUAAGCACCGGCUAACUCUGUGCCAGCAGCCGCGGUAAUACAGAGGGUGCAAGCGUUAAUCGGAAUUACUGGGCGUAAAGCGCGCGUAGGUGGUUUGUUAAGUUGGAUGUGAAAGCCCCGGGCUCAACCUGGGAACUGCAUUCAAAACUGACAAGCUAGAGUAUGGUAGAGGGUGGUGGAAUUUCCUGUGUAGCGGUGAAAUGCGUAGAUAUAGGAAGGAACACCAGUGGCGAAGGCGACCACCUGGACUGAUACUGACACUGAGGUGCGAAAGCGUGGG
This 710-nucleotide ribosomal RNA is filed under the name Pseudomonas sp. RNAcentral's name for it is "bacterial SSU rRNA". It matches the Rfam family "Bacterial small subunit ribosomal RNA", at positions 60 to 765 of the family's 1533-position model. Lineage: Bacteria; Pseudomonadati; Pseudomonadota; Gammaproteobacteria; Pseudomonadales; Pseudomonadaceae. The record is from RNAcentral.